ACAAACUUGGUCAUUUAGAGGAAGUAAAAGUCGUAACAAGGUCUCCGUUGGUGAACCAGCGGAGGGAUCAUUACUGAGUUGUCAAAAACUCCAAACCCUUUGUGAACUUAGAAUCGUUGCCUCGGCGUGAGCCGCGCGUGCCCUGCAGCUACCCUGCAGCGGCGUGCGCAAUACGGCCCGCCGGAGGACCAAUUCAAAACUCUUGCUCCAAAAGCUUUGCUUCUCUGAAUUAUUGCUUCAAAAUCAGUUAAAACUUUCAACAACGGAUCUCUUGGUUCUGGCAUCGAUGAAGAACGCAGC
This 300-nucleotide unclassified non-coding RNA is filed under the name uncultured fungus. Its description in RNAcentral is "partial contains small subunit ribosomal RNA, internal transcribed spacer 1, and 5.8S ribosomal RNA". The stretch from base 1 to 73 matches the Rfam family "Eukaryotic small subunit ribosomal RNA", at positions 1759 to 1831 of the family's 1831-position model. The record is from RNAcentral. Lineage: Eukaryota; Fungi.